AGAGUUUGAUCAUGGCUCAGGAUGAACGCUGGCGGCGUGCUUAACACAUGCAAGUCGAGCGAAGCACUCUGCUUUGAUUCUUUCGGGAUGAAGAGCAUUGUGACUGAGCGGCGGACGGGUGAGUAACGCGUGGGUAACCUGCCUCAUACAGGGGGAUAACAGUUAGAAAUGGCUGCUAAUACCGCAUAAGACCACAGCACCGCAUGGUGCAGGGGUAAAAACUCCGGUGGUAUGAGAUGGACCCGCGUCUGAUUAGCUAGUUGGUGGGGUAACGGCCUACCAAGGCGACGAUCAGUAGCCGACCUGAGAGGGUGACCGGCCACAUUGGGACUGAGACACGGCCCAAACUCCUACGGGAGGCAGCAGUAGGGAAUCUUCCACAAUGGACGAAAGUCUGAUGGAGCAACGCCGCGUGAAUGAAGAAGGCCUUCGGGUCGUAAAAUUCUGUUGUCAGAGAAGAAUGUGCGUGAGAGUAACUGUUCACGUAUUGACGGUAUCUGACCAGAAAGCCACGGCUAACUACGUGCCAGCAGCCGCGGUAAUACGUAGGUGGCAAGCGUUGUCCGGAUUUAUUGGGCGUAAAGGGAACGCAGGCGGUCUUUUAAGUCUGAUGUGAAAGCCUUCGGCUUAACCGAAGUAGUGCAUUGGAAACUGGAAGACUUGAGUGCAGAAGAGGAGAGUGGAACUCCAUGUGUAGCGGUGAAAUGCGUAGAUAUAUGGAAGAACACCAGUGGCGAAAGCGGCUCUCUGGUCUGUAACUGACGCUGAGGUUCGAAAGCGUGGGUAGCAAACAGGAUUAGAUACCCUGGUAGUCCACGCCGUAAACGAUGAGUGCUAAGUGUUGGAGGGUUUCCGCCCUUCAGUGCUGCAGCUAACGCAUUAAGCACUCCGCCUGGGGAGUACGGUCGCAAGACUGAAACUCAAAGGAAUUGACGGGGGCCCGCACAAGCGGUGGAGCAUGUGGUUUAAUUCGAAGCAACGCGAAGAACCUUACCAGGUCUUGACAUCUUCUGACAAUUCCAGAGAUGGAACGUUCCCUUCGGGGACAGAAUGACAGGUGGUGCAUGGUUGUCGUCAGCUCGUGUCGUGAGAUGUUGGGUUAAGUCCCGCAACGAGCGCAACCCUUAUUGUCAGUUGCCAUCAUUAAGUUGGGCACUCUGGCGAGACUGCCGGUGACAAACCGGAGGAAGGUGGGGAUGACGUCAAAUCAUCAUGCCCCUUAUGACCUGGGCUACACACGUGCUACAAUGGACGGUACAACGAGUCGCUAACUCGCGAGGGCAAGCUAAUCUCUUAAAGCCGUUCUCAGUUCGGAUUGCAGGCUGCAACUCGCCUGCAUGAAGUCGGAAUCGCUAGUAAUCGCGAAUCAGCAUGUCGCGGUGAAUACGUUCCCGGGCCUUGUACACACCGCCCGUCACACCAUGAGAGUUUGUAACACCCAAAGUCGGUGGGGUAACCUUUUGGAGCCAGCCGCCUAAGGUGGGACAGAUGAUUGGGGUGAAGUCGUAACAAGGUA
This 1516-nucleotide ribosomal RNA is filed under the name metagenome. RNAcentral's name for it is "bacterial SSU rRNA". It matches the Rfam family "Bacterial small subunit ribosomal RNA". The record is from RNAcentral.